AAAACUUCCAUCACUGAUUGGUUUCUUGUUUCAGAUUCGUUGAUUGGAUCAGAAUAAUGAAUUUUCCCGCCCAAUAUAAGCUUAUGAUUGGUCGUUUUGGAGAAUUGUUUCAGAUCCUCUGUUUUCACUCUUUGCUCUGUUUCGAAUUUGAUUAAAGAUCUGAUAUUUAUUUGUUUGUUUUACUUGAAGGAUUCAAAGCUUGAAUUUUUAAGAGAUGGGUUCUCGAUUUAACUUCGUUGACGACGCAAAGCAGCCAGCUUUGGGGACUGGUGUUCCUCUGACGAGACAGAACUCUGUUUUCUCGUUAACCUUUGAUGAGUUUCAGAACUCAUGGGGUGGUGGGGUUGGGAAGGACUUUGGGUCCAUGAACAUGGACGAGCUCUUGAAGAACAUAUGGACAGCUGAGGAAAGCCACUCUAUGAUGGCCAACAACACCAGUUUCAACAACACUUUUAAUGGAGGUUUGUCUGUUGGUGUGGGAGGGGAGCUUGGUGGUGUUGGUGGGGGUUUGCAGAGACAAGGGUCACUUACUUUACCUCGUACCAUUAGUCAGAAAAGAGUUGAUGAUGUCUGGAAGGAGCUGAUGAAGGACGAUGACGCUGGAAGUGGUGGUGGAGGAGCGAGUGGAGUUCCGCAGAGGCAACAGACGUUGGGGGAGAUGACUCUGGAGGAGUUCUUGGUGAGAGCUGGUGUUGUUAGGGAAGAGCCUCAACAACAGGUGGAGAGGGUGGAUCACUUCAACGGUGGGUUCUUUGGAUUUGGAGGUGAUGCAGGGCUGAGUUCAGCUCGUAAUGGGUUUGGUCCUAACCUGGUGAGACCGGAUCUGCUGACAAAUCAAACUCAGCCGUUGCAGAUGCAGCAGCAGCAGCCACAGAAGGUGCAUCAGCCGCAGCAACUGAUCCAGAAGCAGCAGGAUGUAGCUUUUCCUAAACAGUCUACGAUAGCGUUUUCCAACACUGUUGAUUUGGUCAACCGUUCUCAACCUCCAACACAGGAAGUGAAGCCUUCAGUUCUUGGAGUUAGGGACAUGCCUAUGAACAAUAACAACCUUCUUCAGGCUGUUGAUUUUAAAACAGGUGUUACGGUUGCAGCAGUAUCUCCUGGAAGCCAGAUGUCACCUGAUCUGACUCCAAAGAGCAACAUGGAUGCGUCUUUGUCACCUGUUCCUUACAUGUUUGCUGGUCGAGUGAGAAAAACAGGCGCAGUCCUGGAGAAAGUGAUUGAGAGGAGGCAGAAAAGGAUGAUUAAGAAUAGGGAAUCAGCUGCAAGAUCACGCGCUCGCAAGCAAGCUUAUACGUUGGAGUUGGAGGCAGAAGUUGCACAACUGAAAGAGCAGAAUGAAGAGUUGCAGAGGAAACAAGUUGAAAUUAUGGAAAAGCAGAAAAAACAGGUACUAUCUCUUGUAUUCUUAAGUCUAAGCUUUUAGUCCAAUACUGUAAGCAACACGAUGAAGUGAAGUAUAACAUCACAUCUUAACAUUAACUUCUGGAGCCAAUGCGUCAGACAUGGGGAUGCAAAAGGCAAUGCUUGAGAAGGACACUGACAGGUCCUUGGUAGAGAGCUUGUUUAUGAAGCCCUCCAAGGAGCUCAACAAAAGAGCAGAAGCUAUAGAAACAACACAGAAAGUAGAAGCUAGCUUUGUAUGUAACUUAGGCAGGUGUUUUCUGUGGGGGUGAUUGUAGGUAAAUGAAGUGUGGCCGAUUUGACUAGAUCAACACUCUUUUUUUCUUCUUCUGUUUUCUUGAAGCAUCUUUUGGUUUUAUGUUCCUGAUGUAAUUGAUCUUGAUGUUGCUUUCUAGGACGUGUCAAUGUCUUAGAAACAUCUUUGUGACUUAAUCAUAGUGGAUUUGUCUUGUAGCAUA
This is an RNA transcript of Brassica oleracea var. oleracea, 1862 nucleotides long. It is a transcript of the gene named ABSCISIC ACID-INSENSITIVE 5-like protein 6, with no coding region annotated. Lineage: Eukaryota; Viridiplantae; Streptophyta; Magnoliopsida; Brassicales; Brassicaceae. The record is from RefSeq and is a predicted model, not a curated record. The transcript is spliced from 5 exons.